GCCAAGUGCAGUGGCGCAUGCCUGUAGUCCCAGCUACUCGGGAGGCUGAGGCUGGAGGAUCUCUUGAGUCCAGGAGUUCUGGGCUGUAGUGCGCUAUGCCGAUCAGGUGUCUGCAAUAAGUUCAGCAUCAAUAUGGUGAUCUCCCAGGAGCGGGGGACCACCAGGUUGCCUAAGGAGGGGUGAACCAGCCCAGGUCGGAAACGGAGCAGGUCAAAACUGCUGUGCUGAUCAGUAGUGGGAUUGUGCCUGUGAACAGCCACUGCACCUCAGCCUGGGCAACAUAGCGAGACUCCAUCUCU
RNAcentral lists this signal recognition particle RNA (299 nucleotides) under Cebus imitator (Panamanian white-faced capuchin). RNAcentral's name for it is "Metazoan signal recognition particle RNA (ENSCCAG00000014365.1)". It matches the Rfam family "Metazoan signal recognition particle RNA". From Rfam's summary of the family: The signal recognition particle (SRP) is a universally conserved ribonucleoprotein. Lineage: Eukaryota; Metazoa; Chordata; Mammalia; Primates; Cebidae. The record is from RNAcentral.